This 769-nucleotide ribosomal RNA is filed under the name uncultured bacterium. Its description in RNAcentral is "bacterial SSU rRNA". It matches the Rfam family "Bacterial small subunit ribosomal RNA", at positions 28 to 776 of the family's 1533-position model. The record is from RNAcentral.
AUUGAACGCUGGCGGCAGGCCUAACACAUGCAAGUCGAGCGGCAGCGACUUAACUGAACCUUUCGGGGAACGUUAAGGGCGGCGAGCGGCGGACGGGUGAGUAAUGCCUGGGAAUAUGCCUGAUGUGGGGGAUAACUAUUGGAAACGAUAGCUAAUACCGCAUAAUCUCUUCGGAGCAAAGAGGGGGACCUUCGGGCCUCUCGCGUCAGGAUUAGCCCAGGUGGGAUUAGCUUGUUGGUGAGGUAAUGGCUCACCAAGGCAACGAUCCCUAGCUGGUCUGAGAGGAUGAUCAGCCACACUGGAACUGAGACACGGUCCAGACUCCUACGGGAGGCAGCAGUGGGGAAUAUUGCACAAUGGGGGAAACCCUGAUGCAGCCAUGCCGCGUGUGUGAAGAAGGCCUUCGGGUUGUAAAGCACUUUCAGUAGGGAGGAAGGUAGUGUAGUUAACACCUGCAUUAUUUGACGUUACCUACAGAAGAAGCACCGGCUAACUCCGUGCCAGCAGCCGCGGUAAUACGGAGGGUGCGAGCGUUAAUCGGAAUUACUGGGCGUAAAGCGCAUGCAGGCGGCCUGUUAAGUCAGAUGUGAAAGCCCGGGGCUUAACCUCGGAAUUGCAUUUGAAACUGGCAGGCUAGAGUCUUGUAGAGGGGGGUAGAAUUUCAGGUGUGGCGGUGAAAUGCGUAGAGAUCUGAAGGAAUACCAGUGGCGAAGGCGGCCCCCUGGACAAAGACUGACGCUCAGAUGCGAAAGCGUGGGGAGCAAACAGG